AGCAGCAGCAGCAGCAGCAGGUUCACACGAACGAACGCCAUUUUUGUCUGCCGUUCAAGAUUCGACCGUUCCGUAAGGCAAGCUCGCCAGCAGCAUCGGUAAAAGCAAAAAAGUUUAAAAAAAGCAAGAAGAAAAAAGAGUUAUCCGUGUCCCGUAAUUCCGUCGUGUGUCCGCGACCGAUUCUACCCCUUUCCCAAGAGUGACUUUUCUGUUCUUCUGUAAUAAUCCAGCUAGAGAAGGAGAGAGUGAGUGUGUGCGCGCGACCUAGAAUCGCAAAAGAGUUCCAUUUUGUAGAGCAGCCAGCAGCAAAAAGAGUCGCGGUUGCCCAUUGUCCGCGCGAGGAGGCCGCGACGACGAAAAAUCCGCAAACGUCAUCUUCGCUGCUCCAACACACACCCCAAUCCGACGUCGUCGUCGUGCUCCACGUACACGGCGAGAACGUGAGCGGAGGAGGAGGCGCCACCCCUCACCGUGUGUAAAGUGGAAGUGGCCAAAUCAGCACAAAGCAAAGAGAGGUUCCCCGGAAGUGGUGGAAAGUGAACGUCCAAGCGGAUUGUGGAAAAAGAACAAAUAAGCUCCCUGCCGGACCGUUCAGCGUUGGCCACAAGAGUCAGCGAAAACGCAAGAGAGAUAGAGAGUGCUAAUCUAGCCCAGCAACGAUCCAGCAAACCGACAACCUCUUCCUAACCAGAAGACGAAGCGUACUUUGCGCGCAACCAACAAGCAAGCCCAAAGUGCAAACCUUGGACUUGGUUGAGGUGCGCAAGAGGCUUCCACACUUUUUCGCUGAUGAAGAUUCUCUACCAGCAUGAAUGCAUUGGGGGGAACUAGGGGGGAGCGAAAUGCAAAGCCCAAAUUCGCAGCGUUAGACAUCAACAAGCUCUACAGCACCAGUCGGGGAGAAUCUCUUGAACCAUCCACUCAGAAAAGCGCCGCUCCUCGUAAACAUGGAAUGCAAAGUUUGGGAAAGGUUCCCUCGGCUCGUCGCCCUCCCGCAAACCUGCCGUCUCUGAAGGCCGAAAUUUCGUCACCGUCGGAUCCGCAGGGCACCUGGGCAAACGAGUCAGGCGACAACCAGAACAACAACCAACAGCAAAGCAACAACAGCAGCAACAACAACUCUAGUAUUACCGCAGCGGUGACGCCAGGUGGCGGCGGCAGCACAAACAACAACAGCAACUCUAUAGCUUCUUCUUCACACCACCACCACCAACACCACCAGCAGCAGCAGCAGCAGCAUCAGAGCCAGCAUCUUCAUCAUCAUCAGCAGCAGCAGCAUCAUCCCCACUCGAACGCUUCUUCCUCAUCACAAUGGAGUUCGAACGAGUUCCCCUCCCUGGAUGGAGCUGGUCAGUAUGGUCCGAGCGGCAAGCAGCAGCAGCAUCACCACCAUCAUCACGAUGGCGUCGACGGCGGCAACCGGUCGUCGACGAACCAGCAGCAGUACAUGGAUCACGGUGGGCCGCAGGUGAGUCUGAGACCGCAGACGGACGCAGCGAGUUGGAUGCAGCAGCAGCAGCAAGGCGGCAACGCUGGCAACGCCGCCGGUAUGAACGGGCCAAACAGCAACCAAGCGGGCCCGGGCCACCAACAGCAGCAAGCUCCGUUACCGCCGCAGUUCCGUGCGCUGAUGCCACCGUUCAUGUAUCGUGGCAGCGGAGGCGCAGGUGGAAGUUCCGGAUCGCCACCGCCCCCGUCGGACGGUCCACGCUCGUCGGGACCGAUGAACGACGACCGGGACAAUCGUGGAAUGCGAAACAACAGCGGUGGAGGCGGAGGCGGAUACAACAGUAUGCUACCGAGCUUCGUCUCGGGCGGCGGCAGCGGCACGAAUCAUCAUCAAUCUCAUGGAUCAAACUAUUCGCCGACGCAGUCGGGUGGUAGAUAUCGUGACUCGUACGGCGGAGGUGGUGGCGGCCGUGGACCCCGCGGACAAAUGCAACCUCCUAGGUUGGCGAACCGGCAGCAGCGAGACCAGCACCGGGAUCACGACGAUCACCGGCGGGACUCUUCGUCGGCGGCCGCUCCGUUCAUGGAGCCGGAGGUUGUCGUUCAGCGGCCCAUCAUCCGGGACGAGGAGCUGCAGCGCAUCGAGGCGAUCGCCAAGGACGAGGGGGGCUGGGCCAAGGACGACGAGUUUGACUACAACCAGAAGCUACAGUUUUCGGACGACGAGUCGGAACCGAGCCCGCCCAAGGAGAUUGCGGCGCCGCAGGUCAGCAAGCAGCAACUGCAGCAGCAGGAGCAGAAGAGAUCUGUCCAGGUUGAAAGGCAACAACAGCAACAGGUUCAACAGCAACAACAACAGCAUCAACAACAACAGCAUCAACAACAGCAGCAACAACAUCAGCAACAGCACCACCAAGAAGAGGACAAGCGCAUGGCUUGGAGUCGCGAGGUGGAACGCGAACAGGACCGGCUGGAGCAGGAGCAACGCGAGCGCGAACGUCAGGAGCGUGAAUCGGCCGUUCGUCAACCGCCGCCACCGUCCUCGCAACAGAAUGGUCACGUUGGCGUCGGAGGUCGUGGACUGGACGCCGAGGCCAAGGAACGGCUCAAGUUGCGACGCGAGGAGGACCAGCGGAGGGAGAUGGAACGCAAGCAGGCCGCGGCCCGAAAGCUGCAGGAGCUGGAGCAAAAGCUGAAGAGUAAGAAGGGUGAGGACGGCGGGCCGGGGUCUUCUCCGGUCAAGGACGAUCAGGAGGAGCAGCAGCAGCACGAUCAGCAGCCGUCGGCUGCAACUUACAGCGAAUCGAGCGAUGGAAAGGAUCGUAGCGGAUCGAGUAAUCGCGAUCGAGGCGGCGAUCAGAAGGAUUUUAGAGAUCAACGGUACGAGUACGGAAGGCACGAUCGGUACGGUGGAGAACGAGGAGGUGAUCGCGGAGGUGAUCGAGGUGGCGAUCGCGGUGGUGAUCGUGACGGCGCCUGGGACAAUCCGCCGUUUUCGAAGAACUUCCAAACGAAUCUACCGCCGAGAUUCCAGAAGCGUAAGCUGGAGCGAAAUCCUUCCGGAAACAGUCUGCAGGGAAGUCAACCGCAGGGUGUUGGUUACGGUGGUCGCGAUCAGAACAAUAGUCGCAGCACUGCCAGCAAUCAUGGUCCACCGGCUCAGCAGCAGCAGCAGCAGGGUGACGGCAAGAGCGUUCCGUUUGCGCAGCAGUACGAUCCGCGGUUCAUCCACACCCAGCAGAACUACGGCAAGGGUCAACCGGUGGGUCAACAGCAGCGCCGGGGAAUGGAUCGUGGCGAUCGGGACGAUCGUGACCGCGGUGACAUGGUCCCGCGGGAAAUCAUGAAGCGACGCAUCGACUCCGAGGAGGACGAUCGCUUCAGCAGCAGUGGCCGAGAGUCGUCCAGCAAGAUGAGCGGAGGCGGUGGCCGUACAACGCCGCAGCUGAACCGAAGCGUAUCGGAUACGUCGCAACGCAAGACGAGCGUUUCGAGCGAUGACAACAGCCAUCGCCAGCACGAUCAUCAGCCGCAGCAGCAGCAGCAGAUCAUCAUUGGAUCUUGGGAGAGCGAGGCGGAAAAGGAGGAUCGUCGACUGGCGGAGGCAGCCGCUGCGUUGGCCAAGGAGAACCAGAUGCAGCAGUUCCAGCAGCAGCAGCACGAUUCGCGUAGAAUUUCGGAAUCGUCUGCGGUUUCGGAGAGCGAGCCUAAGCAGAUUCUUCAGCGGAUCAAGGAAACUCCGGACAAGCUGGAGUCUUUGAAGGUUGAUGAUCAGAAGCCAAACGAACCUGUUCGACUGCUUUCGAAGCCUUGGGAAGAUUCGGUAGAAGCUGCGGAGGAAGCGUCCAAGUCACUCGACGUGAGCGCAACCUCGCUGGACACGACGACGGACAAGAAGGACGCUUCCGGAUCGGAUGCUGGCAAGAAUGACAGCAGCGUGUCCGCCGAGAACAAGAUGAACACUUCCCAGGGCAGUGCUGCCAGCGGAAAGGAGUCGGAUGACGGUGGCAAGUACGGAUCGAAGAAGCCACUUCAACAGUCCCGGGGAGGACGUCACGAAUCGCGUGGCGGAGGUCAUCCCCGAGGAGGUUACGGUUCCGGAUCCGGAUUCCAUCGUGGUGGUGGAGGCGGAGGCGGCGGCGGAAGCAGUUGGAGUCGUCGAGGCGGUCCUUCCGGAGGUUCCCGCAUGGGUCACGGACGUAACUACAACCAGGACUAUUGGAGCGAGUCGGAUUUGACCGACGAAGGGGACGAGGAUGUUAGGAAGGAUCGCAAAGAGGGCGGUCACUACCGCAACAGCGGAACCGGUGGACAGGGACAGAACCUUAAGGAAGGGUUCGCGCCCCGCGGAGAACCGUCUCGUAGGGGACGCGGUGCAGGAAUGGCCGCGAGUGUCCCAGGCUUCCGUAGCAAGGCAGCACCGGUUGGCAAAAAGAUCGAAGGUUACGGACCACCGAGUUCCAAGAGUCCGUUCGGAAGUAACGAGGACAAGUCGGACUCCAAGCCGCAAGCGGCCAAGGACGGUUCAAAACCAGCUCCGGAACAAACUGCGGACGAUCGGACGAAGCAGAAGCAAGCGGCGCUCAGCGCUGGAUUGACCAACAAACCGCUGGGAGGACCCAAGCCAGGAUCUCUCCCGCAGCGAAGUCCUUCCGGAAACAUGAAACCACCGGGCAAGCCGGCCGAAGAAACGCUCUCCGAGCAGGAGAAACUCAAGGCCGCCGAGAAGAAGCCCCGCGCCGACAGCGUCAAAAGCGAAUCUCACGACGAGAAGGUCAUCAAGGAGAAGCCCAAAACGGACAGCGAAAGUCACGCCGACACGGAUGACGGCAAAGACCACAAGGGAGGUCGCGGCAAACAGCAGCAAGUUGUCAAGCAGCAGCAGCAGCCCACCUCCGUCGCACCAGGCAAGUCUUCAGCGCCGGCCAAACCAGCCGUUGUUCCAGCGGCUUCCGCGCCGAAAUCGGCCGCCCCAGCCAUCGUUGGCGUCCAAACCAAGCCGGUCAACCAGCAGCAGCAGCAACAGCAGCCUGCUCGCCCCAAUGCUCUUCCACAACCGGAACCGACUGCCAUCGUAGCAGCCGCGGCCGUAAAUCUACAGCAGCAGCCACAGCCGACGAUACAGGACAAACUGAGCAUAAACAGCAACAACACUUCAAAGACUGAUAAUAGUAAGCAACUCUUGGACGGUGCGACGCCACCGGUGAAUACGAUCAUUUUCGAAAACACAAACUACAAGUCUUCGACGGCGGCGGCCGUCACCGUUACGGUGCAGCAGCAGCAGCAGCAACAUCUUCACCAACAACAACAGCAGCAGCAGCAGAUUCCACCUCCGGUGGUCCAAAUGAAGCGUCAGCACUCUGGCGGUCCGGCCGGACCUUUGGGCGUCCUCCAGCAGCAGCAAAUGGUUCAACGCCACGUUCCAACGCAGGAGGAGGUGUUCAAGGCGGCUACCGGAGUUUCGGUGCCCGGUUCGAUGCAUGAGAUGAUGGAGGCGCAGGCGCAGGCUGCUCAGCAACAACAACAACAACAACAGCAGCAACAGCGACCACCGUCGGCGAAUGGUCCACCGCAACAGGUUCCGCCACCGCAACAGCAGCAGCAACAACAACAGCAACUCCCGCAGCAGCCAAACUCGCAGGCCGAUGCGAUUACGAGUGCGCUGCAGGGCAUGACGUUCCAGAAGCCGACGACGGAAGCGGACUACGACAAGGAGAUGAAGCCGUUCACGUUUGAGUCGGACAUUUCGCAGCUGAUCGAGGCCAAGAACAAGGCCGGUGGGUUGAUUUUGACAAAGCCGGCCCAGAACAUGAUUUCGCCGUCGACGGCGGAGCUGAACAUGAAGAUUGCCAGCGUGAAGAAGGUCUGGGAGAUGCCGUCGGUGCCGGAGCACGCCCCGGAAGAUCCGGCGAGUGCGGCAGCUGCAGCGGCGGCCGUCCAUUUGGCGGCCAACUUUGUUUCGUCGCAGCACCAGCAUCAGCUGCAUCAGUUCCAGCACUCGCACGGCGGACUGUCGCACAGCCAUCCGGCGCAUACGUUGGCAGCGGCCGCAGCAGCUAACCAAUCGUAUGCCUCUGGAUUCGGCCAGGAUCAGCAAUCGCUUGAGCAACAUUACAACAAAGCCGGCAACGAUGGUGGCGUCGUAACGGACGGAGGAGACAACAGCUACGGCAACCAGCAGCACCAGGCCAACAGCGUGCAGCAGCAGCAACAGCAACAGCACCAGGCCAAUGCUAUGAGCAUGAAACACGCGGCCGAAGUACUCGCCAACGCGAACGCUAACGUGUGCAAGGUGAAACCAACCCAGCAGAACAUGCACCAAUCAACGGGACUUGGCCUGUCGCCGCCUCCGAUGCAACAGCAGGGCACGAUCCCGUCGGCCCCACAGCAGACCUACUAUCAACCGUCACAGUACGGAAUGUCCGCCAUUCCGUCACCGCCGGCCGUCAUCUACAACUCGUCGGCCAUGCCAUCCCAGGGUGGUCUCUACAAUGCAUUCCAAAUCGAGGCCGCUGGCCGUUCGCAGUUCUCGCAGUUCCCGGGCCCGUACGGCACAACCGGAACGGCCCCGUAUAACGCGUACAUGACCACACCGCCCAACUUGCAACCAACCGCCCCCACGCCGGACAUGUACCAGACGCUGUCGUCGCAGUUCCGCAUGGGCGGUGCCGUCCAAACCCCGUACAAUCCGUCGCCCUCGCAGCAGCUCAACAACCCGAGCACGAUGCUCAUCUCGUCCAGCACAAACUCACUGAUGUCCUCGUCCGUCAAGCCCUCGUCCCAGCAAAUCGGCGCCAUCGGCUCCAAGUCCGGCUCCGUUGGUCAACCGUACGGUCAGCAGUAUAUGGGCAUGUUCCCCCCAGCCCCACCCCUCCAGAACAACUCGUUCUACUCCAACUCGGCCGGUGGCCAGAGUGCGUUCUUCGGCGGUGCAGGCGCCACCCAAAACUACGGCAUUCAAGCGGCCGCGGCCGGCAUGUUCGGUGGACACGGUGCCCAAACGCCCUCCAAUGCACCGCCUCCGCCGCAGCAGCAGUUGCCGAACUACGCCAACACGUCCCAGUUCCUAACUUCGCCCCUGCUGGCGGCCCAAGCCGCAACUUCCCAGCUGUACCGUGGAGGUCCGAACGGAGGUGGCCCGCAGUCGGCGGCCGCGGCAGCCUACAUGAAGAGCAACCAAUCGCACAUGCAGGAUCCGAACGGUCGACAGCUGAAAAGCCCUUUAAAUUCCGACGGCUUAGCUAACUUGAAACAGAUUCCACCCCAAGCAAGUCCGCCACAUCACAAGGGCUAUGCAACGACAACGUGGGAACUCCAGAACCAGCUGAUGCAGCAACAGCAACAGCAGCAGCAAAAUCAGCAACAAAACGCCCAACAACAGCAGAACCAGCAGCAGCCUAACCCGCAGCAGCAGCAGCACCCGCAACAGCAGCAGCAACCGGGCGCCAACCGGAACAUGAUGCCGCCGAACCAGCAGCAGCAGCAACAGCCCGGAGCAGGCCGGUAUCCGGCGCCGAUCCAGCGGCCGACCAACUACUCGCAGCCGCCGGUUCCGGGAAUGCACCAGCAGCGGCCAAUGCGCCAAUCGAACCACCAGCAGCCCGGUGGAGGUCAACCCGGCCAACCCCCGAACAUGGCCCAGGUCAUGGGCGGCGGCGGAGGUGGCGGCGGAAAUCCGAACAAGCACUACUACGGCGGCCAAGGUGGUGGAAAUCGAGGUGAGUAGACGACAGCAACCGGUCGGUUCUCUCCCUCCUCACUCCACUCCACACUCGAUCACAAUAUCAAUCAAUCAAUCAUCCUCUGCGAGUUGCGUGCGAAAACACGGUCCCCCGGACACCGUAACGAUGGCGGUCACGUGAACGUGAUGAACGAUCAGAACAUGGGCGGCGGCGGUAAACCCGGUGGCAAUGACAAAGUCGUACUAGAUGAUGCGGGCAAGGAUCACGAUUCCAAGAAGAAGUAAAGUGUAAAGAAGAAGAAGCGGUAAUAAAUUGUCAAGUGAACACAAAAGAAAGAAAACAUGGAGUUACUUACAGAGAAAGAGACAAAAUGCACAUUUCAGCUAUGAAAAGGAAAAAACGAAGGCAAGAAAAAAACAAAACAUAGUAGUCUAUCGCAAAUUAUGUAUUAUUGGUAAACAAAACAAAAACAAACAUAUUUAUUAAUUAAAAAAUAGUUGAUGGGACAAAACAAAACAAAAAAACACUGAUACUUCAUAUGAUGACGGGGAGGCAAACUUGUGGUGGAAGUGGAAGAAAAACAUUUGCAGACAGAAAAAAUAUCACCGUAAUAUCGACGUAAAAUAUAACCUUAAACAAACACACACAGCAACAACAAACAAACAUUCACGCGUUACAUUUGUAAGAAUGGAGGAGGAGAAAAAGUAAAAGGCAAACGCAGCUUUGAAGCGCCCUCUUUAUAUUCAGUGAAAUGAAUCGGUUUGACUGAGCUUCACUCUAAACAAUGGCUAACAAAACAAACAAACAAAAAAUCGACUUUGAAUGAUUUUCGGACUUACUUAAGCGAGAUUGCUUGAUUGUUUGAUUGAUUGAGAGGCAGAAAGAGAGAGAAUGUGGUGGUAUUUUUUCUUCUCGCUAGAUUCGUUUUCGCCUGAGUUGCUCUUCUGUGCAAAAGAAGGUGAAAAUUUCGGUUCCUUCUAUUUUUUGGAAGACACACACCCACACAGCCCUAACUAGACACUUUACCCUAGCCGGAAUAAGGAAGCAAGCAAAUAUGCGUAACCUACCCCUAAACUAACCGCCCAACCAAAACCACACAAUUUAACCGUGUUUAUCGUCAAUGCUAAAAUGUUGAGAGAAAGAAAGCUACAAAAUGUGGAGGAAAAUUCUGCGAAUAACGUGGAAUCUAUGCGAGUGCUUGAUGAGGAACAGGGAUUUUCGAAUGAUACAGAACUUGAAAUCAAAUAAUGGAAUAAAACAAGUAAAACAAACAAACAAGCAAGCAGUGGAGGAGAAAAGUGUGUCUACUCAUGAAGACUACUCUAGCUUAAUACAGUUUAAUAAAAGAAAUGAAACACAUAAUUAAUGAAAAUGCAUAUUAUAGCAACUAUAUAUUAAUGAUGAAAGGGAGAAAGUUUCAAAACAAUUACAUUAGUAAUUCACUUUAUUAAUGAAUUAUUCUUAUUAUAAAAUAAAUAUAACAAAACAAACGUAAACUAUAUUUGAGUAUAAUCAUUAUUUGUCGUAAAAUAUAACCUGCGUAAAAUUGAAUGCGAAGAAGGGCGCGCCAGGCAGAAGAGAAACGAGAGAGACCGUCGAGGAGAAGCCUUCAGUUCAGUUUUCAAUUAAUAUAUGAUAAAAACAAGAAACACACACAUUCACAUGCAUUAACACGCAACAAAAGAAGAAAAAAACUUUACUGAAAUCAUGUUCGAUGGAUAAAAAAAUAAACAUAACAAAAAACCCGUAGAAAUUGAUGUAGGUUAAACGCGACAGUGUGUAAGUGAAACUGCAAACUCUUAAACGAAAAUAAAUAAACAAAACUAUGACCUACACACACUACCACAAAAAAUGCUGCAAGAAUGUUACAAUUAGUGAAAAAAAAAACCUGCAAAAACUGACAAAUUGUAACACACUUUGUAGUGGUGCGCGCGCGAGCAUGAGUUUCUUUUAAGUUCUAUAUUUAAAGAAAAAAAAAGUUUUAUUUAUUUUCUACAGUGUAAAAGGUAACCCAAGCUCUGCAUAACAAUUGAGAGAAAUACACAGUAAAGAAAAAAACACACACACACACAUGAAAACUCACGUGCAUAUACAAGAGACAGAUGAAAAUGAAGAGAAAAAAACUCACAAAAACAUUAAACACAACAAACACACGCAAACACAAUAUUAGAAGAUUGAAAUUACUAGAAUGAGAAAAAAGAAAUGUGGCUAGAAGAAUGGUUGAAAACUGAAUAUUAUAAAAAAAGGAAAGUGAAGCUAGCAAGAAGCAUAAGCGAAAAAUGAAAAAAAAAAAAAUAACGAGGGAAUGGCGGUGAAAGCAAACACAAACAAACACACACACAUUAUAAACAAACAAAUGCAAGUAUCUAAAACAAUUCAAACAAACAAAACAAAAAAAAGUUUAUAAAAUUCUGAAAAAUGGCAAGAAAAAAAUAAUAAAAGUCGAUAAACCGAAAAUCUAGGAAAACUAAUAAAA
Molecule: RNA transcript, 10107 nt
Organism: Culex pipiens pallens (northern house mosquito)
Lineage: Eukaryota; Metazoa; Arthropoda; Insecta; Diptera; Culicidae
Gene: nocte
Gene name: mediator of RNA polymerase II transcription subunit 12
Exons: 9
Source: RefSeq, a predicted model, not a curated record